CGGGCCGUAGCGCAGUGGUCGUCGCGCCGCACUGCUAAUGCGGAGGACGCCGGUUCGACUCCGGCCGGCCCGC
Molecule: transfer RNA, 73 nt
Filed under: Micromonospora auratinigra
Lineage: Bacteria; Bacillati; Actinomycetota; Actinomycetes; Micromonosporales; Micromonosporaceae
Description: tRNA_Ser_GCT
Rfam family: tRNA
About the family: Transfer RNA (tRNA) molecules are approximately 80 nucleotides in length. Their secondary structure includes four short double-helical elements and three loops (D, anti-codon, and T loops). Further hydrogen bonds mediate the characteristic L-shaped molecular structure. tRNAs have two regions of fundamental functional importance: the anti-codon, which is responsible for specific mRNA codon recognition, and the 3' end, to which the tRNAs corresponding amino acid is attached (by aminoacyl-tRNA synthetases). tRNAs cope with the degeneracy of the genetic code in two manners: having more than one tRNA (with a specific anti-codon) for a particular amino acid; and 'wobble' base-pairing, i.e. permitting non-standard base-pairing at the 3rd anti-codon position.
Source: RNAcentral